UGGGGAAUUUUGGACAAUGGGCGAAAGCCUGAUCCAGCAAUGCCGCGUGUGUGAAGAAGGCCUUCGGGUUGUAAAGCACUUUUGUCCGGAAAGAAAUCCUUGGCUCUAAUACAGUCGGGGGAUGACGGUACCGGAAGAAUAAGCACCGGCUAACUACGUGCCAGCAGCCGCGGUAAUACGUAGGGUGCAAGCGUUAAUCGGAAUUACUGGGCGUAAAGCGUGCGCAGGCGGUUUGCUAAGACCGAUGUGAAAUCCCCGGGCUCAACCUGGGAACUGCAUUGGUGACUGGCAGGCUAGAGUAUGGCAGAGGGGGGUAGAAUUCCACGUGUAGCAGUGAAAUGCGUAGAGAUGUGGAGGAAUACCGAUGGCGAAGGCAGCCCCUGGGCCAAUACUGACGCUCAUGCACGAAAGCGUGGGGAGCAAAACAGGAUUAGAUACCCUGGUAGUCCACGCCCUAAACGAUGUCAACUAGUUGUUGGGGAUUCAUUUCCUUAGUAACGUAGCUAACGCGUGAAGUUGACCGCCUGGGGAGUACGGUCGCAAGAUUAAAACUCAAAGGAAUUGACGGGGUCAUAGCUG
This 579-nucleotide ribosomal RNA is filed under the name uncultured bacterium. Its description in RNAcentral is "partial 16S ribosomal RNA". It matches the Rfam family "Bacterial small subunit ribosomal RNA", at positions 355 to 932 of the family's 1533-position model. The record is from RNAcentral.